CGAAGUCGGGCAUUUGUCCGCCUAAGGUGUGGGUGGUGAUUGGGAUGAAGUCGUAACAAGGUAACCGUUGGGGAACCAGCGGUUGGAUCACCUCCUUU
Molecule: ribosomal RNA, 98 nt
Filed under: Kiritimatiellia bacterium
Lineage: Bacteria; Pseudomonadati; Kiritimatiellota; Kiritimatiellia
Description: Kiritimatiellae bacterium (gut metagenome) partial 16S ribosomal RNA
Rfam family: Bacterial small subunit ribosomal RNA
Source: RNAcentral